This 268-nucleotide long non-coding RNA is filed under the name Panax ginseng (ginseng). RNAcentral describes it as "long non-coding RNA (PGIN_LNC016816)". The record is from RNAcentral. Lineage: Eukaryota; Viridiplantae; Streptophyta; Magnoliopsida; Apiales; Araliaceae.
UUCAUGCAUCUUGGCAAGAAUCAUGUGUCCCCAAGCCAAGCGAAUGGGGCAAAGAGUUUUUGUCAAGCUUAUGUCCACCCAGAUGUGGGCCCGCCAUUACACGAAUGCACGUAUAUAUUCAUGCCAGUGUUUACGCAAGAUACCAAGCAUUUUAUCUUGUUUGUAUUCUCGAUGCCCGAAUGGGCAGUCACCAUCUUUGACCCUCUAUACGAUGAUACCCCGUAUAUGACCAUCCAGCAAAUGUAUAGAGAAUUUGUUACAGUUGCGG